This 790-nucleotide ribosomal RNA is filed under the name uncultured bacterium. Its description in RNAcentral is "bacterial SSU rRNA". It matches the Rfam family "Bacterial small subunit ribosomal RNA", at positions 8 to 796 of the family's 1533-position model. The record is from RNAcentral.
AGAGUUUGAUCAUGGCUCAGGAUGAACGCUAGCGGCAGGCCUAACACAUGCAAGUCGAGGGGUAGAGGUUGCUUGCAACCUUGAGACCGGCGCACGGGUGCGUAACGCGUAUGCAACCUACCUUUUACAGGGGGAUAGCCCAGAGAAAUUUGGAUUAAUACCCCAUAGUAUUAUUUGAUGGCCUCAUCAGAUGAUUAAAGUUACAACGGUAAAAGAUGGGCAUGCGUCCUAUUAGCUAGAUGGAGUGGUAACGGCACCCCAUGGCGACGAUAGGUAGGGGUCCUGAGAGGGAGAUCCCCCACACUGGUACUGAGACACGGACCAGACUCCUACGGGAGGCAGCAGUGAGGAAUAUUGGACAAUGGUCGCAAGACUGAUCCAGCCAUGCCGCGUGCAGGAAGACGGCCCUAUGGGUUGUAAACUGCUUUUGUACGGGAAGAAUAAGGACUACGUGUAGUCUGAUGACGGUACCGUACGAAUAAGGAUCGGCUAACUCCGUGCCAGCAGCCGCGGUAAUACGGAGGAUCCAAGCGUUAUCCGGAAUCAUUGGGUUUAAAGGGGUCCGUAGGCGGGCUGAUAAGUCAGGGGUGAAAGUUUGCCGCUCAACGGUAAAAUUGCCUUUGAUACUGUCAGUCUUGAAUAACUGUGAAGUGGUUAGAAUAUGUAGUGUAGCGGUGAAAUGCAUAGAUAUUACAUAGAAUACCGAUUGCGAAGGCAGAUCACUAACAGUUCAUUGACGCUGAUGGACGAAAGCGUGGGGAGCGAACAGGAUUAGAUACCCUAGUAGUCC